AGAACCAAACAUGACUGGCAAAAAAAAAAAAAAAAAAAGUCAGGGAAUGAUUCCUAAUAAUAUUCUGCUAUACUCAUAUAUUGGUGCCUAGCCCAAUUGUCAUCAGAGAGGCUUCAUUCAGGAACUGAUGGAAAUAGAUGCAGAGACCCACAGACAAGCAUCAGGUGGAGCUCAGGGAAUUCUGUGAAAGAGGGGAAGGAAAGACUGUAGGAGCCAGUAGGAUCAAGUACACCAGAAGAAAACUCACAGAAUCAACUAACAUGGGCUCACAGGGGCUCAUAGAGACUGAACCAACACCCAGGGAGCCUGCAUAUGUCUGACCUAGGUCCUCUGCAUAUAUGUAACAGUUGUGUAGCUUGUUCUUGUGGUUAUCCUAGAAGUGGGAGCAGGGGCUGUCUCCGAUUCUUUUGCCUGCUUUUGGGACCCUUUUCAUUAGGCUGGGUUGCCUUGUCUAGUCUUAAUAUAAGGAGAGGUGCCUAGUCUUGCUGCGAUUUGAUGUCCUAUCCAUGGGAGUCCUGUCUGUAGUGGGUAGCCGUUCCAGCUUUGACCUGGAAAUACCACUCGCUUUGAGGCUUCGGUAACUGUCACACCCACAAGGCAGAGCCGAGAGAGGACCCCUGAAGACCCGAGAUCCGGAUGGAGGAGCUUCCUGGACCCUGGAUGCUGGAGGUAGACUGAGCGGAGUUCUCCAGAGAACACCGUCGGACUGCGCUACACCUUUCCCAGACCCUGUUACCUAUCCCUUCACUUUGAGGAUGUGGUGCCUGGAGACUGAGCAGCUAUCUUGAACUACCACAUAGGAGACACAUGCUGAGGACGACAAAUGAAACUCAUGCUGACUUGAUGGAGUUGCCGUAGCAGUCGGUUACGAAGACUUCUGAUUUAACCCUCUCUUAUUGGAAUAGAUUGAGCUGUAUCUCUCCCCACUCCCACACGAAGUUCAUGCGCUGAAGUCCUGACCCUCAAUGUGAUGGGAACUUGGAAGGAUUAGCAGUAAAGAAAACUUCAGAGCUGCUUUAUGUGAUUGCACAUCAUGUAUCUCCCACACUCCCCAAAGGACCUGCUCUAUACCCAGAAGAAAGGACUGCUCCAGAAAGAAGUCAUGAAGAAUUGAAACAGAGAGACCUUGCCUGCCAUCUGUUACAUUCCCCUUUGUCCAGGCAUCUCCCACGUCUACAUGGUUGUCCAUAUCUCAUUAUCUUAUUCAUAAAAUGGGUGGUUCAUCCUGAUUCUACAGGCCUUAAGCUUGGUUUCCUUUGUCAAGUAAACCUAUGGUUGAAUAAAUUUGCUAUGCUUUUCUCUUA
Molecule: long non-coding RNA, 1304 nt
Organism: Peromyscus californicus insignis
Lineage: Eukaryota; Metazoa; Chordata; Mammalia; Rodentia; Cricetidae
Exons: 4
Source: RefSeq, a predicted model, not a curated record